UGGGGAAUAUUGCACAAUGGGGGAAACCCUGAUGCAGCGACGCCGCGUGAGCGAAAAAGGUUUUCGAAUCGUAAAGCUCUGUCCUAUGGGAAGAUAAUGACGGUACCAUAGGAGGAAGCCCCGGCUAACUACGUGCCAGCAGCCGCGGUAAUACGUAGGGGGCAAGCGUUGUCCGGAAUCACUGGGCGUAAAGGGUUCGCAGGCGGAAAUGCAAGUCAGUUGUGAAAGGCAGAGGCUCAACCUCUGUAAGCAAUUGAAACUGUAUUUCUUGAGAUGUGGAGAGGCAAGUGGAAUUCCUAGUGUAGCGGUGAAAUGCGUAGAUAUUAGGAAGAAUACCGGUGGCGAAGGCGACUUGCUGGACACAAACUGACGCUGAGGAACGAAAGCGUGGGUAGCAAACAGG
Molecule: ribosomal RNA, 403 nt
Filed under: Fusobacteriota bacterium
Lineage: Bacteria; Fusobacteriati; Fusobacteriota
Description: Fusobacteria bacterium partial 16S ribosomal RNA
Rfam family: Bacterial small subunit ribosomal RNA
Source: RNAcentral